CCGAAAUAGUCUACGAUCCUACAAAGGGCUUGGUUUGGGCCGUUGGCCCUCCUGCCUUCUGUUUAAAUCUUCUUAUAGGUGCGGUGUUCCUUGUCAAACCUAUCCGGGCGAAAAACUAUGUCACCAUCAUGGACCCAUUUCAA
This is a long non-coding RNA of Thalassophryne amazonica, 143 nucleotides long. RefSeq lists it as uncharacterized. The transcript has 2 exons. The record is from RefSeq and is a predicted model, not a curated record. Lineage: Eukaryota; Metazoa; Chordata; Actinopteri; Batrachoidiformes; Batrachoididae.